RNAcentral lists this non-coding RNA (24 nucleotides) under Gossypium hirsutum (cotton). Lineage: Eukaryota; Viridiplantae; Streptophyta; Magnoliopsida; Malvales; Malvaceae. The record is from RNAcentral.
GGCAUAUGAUAGUGGUUUAGUGAA